AACUAGUUUUUUUUUGAAAAAUAAGAUGUUACCAGUUCCGUGGUACAUGUACGGUAACAGUUACAUUGAAUAAUGCUGAAAGAUAUUGCGUCAUUUCUGAAUCCUUCAUCCAAGAUAGGUGAUGAGGCACAUGUUCAAGUAUUGGGGAAAGCCUUUUAUCAAAUAUUUCAACCAUAAUUAUUUAUCUAUAUCUUUGGAGCAUCUAGAGGUAAGGGAAUUUCCUAUAUAUUCUUUGAUUUGUCGUGAGGAUGUUGGUGAAGUUUUGUAUAUAUUCUUUGAUUUGUCGUGAGGAUGUUGGUGAAGUUUUGUAUAUAUUCUUUGAUUUGUCGUGAGGAUGUUGGUGAAGUUUUGGCAUCCAGUAUAAGUUCGAUAACUCUAACUUAUUCAUCCCAUUGACUGAGAUGUUUAAAACUAAAACGUGAAUCUGAAGAAGUUCGUCCUUUGAAAUAGGAAUUUGAGUAUUAGUUGGAUUACCAAAUGUGGAAUUAAAGCCAGUACGUAAAUGUAUUACUAGUAUAUGUAGUGAGUGUAACCUUUGUGCACUGAUUUACGUCAGCGAAACCAAGAUAUCACCAGAUAAAAGAAUAUCGGGGCAUAUAUUUAAAGUCUUUGUCUAGUGAGGGUGAUACUGCAGCUGUAUUUCUAAAGACAUUUCUACAAUGAUGAAAAUUUCUCAGGUUUUACAGUUUUUGACAAGACAUGUAAAGAUGGAGGGCAUGUCCGGCAGAGAAUAAAAAUAUACCUUUGCAUUCUUUAAGUUUGGCGUAUGAAUUAUGGUUAAUUUUGCAUCAUUUGAUUCCAAAUAUUGUGACAAACAGGACAAACAGUUGUGAAGUGAAAGUCAGUUGAUGCUUUCUAAUUUCAUCGGGUCUAAAGAAACUUGUAUUAUAGGCACUGGUUGUAGAUGUCAUUUUUCCAUUUAAAAGAAAUUAUCUAUCCUGGUCAGAAGUAUGAUGGGAAUCUUAUUGCGAAAGCUUUGGUACCCAGAGUUGACUAUUUCAGGUGAUUGAAAUAUAUGAAUUUGUAGCUACCAACGUUCAUCCUCGAAUUCUUUUUUCUUAUCCCGUGGGGAUCCGGGUUAGAAUAGGUCCUCAGUACCCCUUGCUUGUCGUAAGAGGCGACUAAAUGGGGCGAUCCUUCGGAUGAGACCACAAAAACGGAGGCCUCGUGUCACAGCAGGUUUAGCACGAUAAAGAUCCCUCCCUGCUCAAAGGCCAUAAGCGCCGAGCAUAGGCCGAAAUUUUGCAGCCCUUCACCGGCAGUUGUGACGUCUCCAUAUGAGUGAAAUAUUCUCGAGAGGGACGUUAAACAAAAUACAAUCAAUCAAUCCUCGAAUUCUUCAAGUAAAAGCAGCUAAUCUGCAACUACAUUGUCUUCAUUGUAGAUUUUCAAUCGAUUACAUUAAGUUGAAUGUCAUCUUUGCGAAUCUAUAUUAUUAAAAGAAACUUCGUAGACAAAGUCGAUUAGAAACAUGGAUUAUUUAACACCACUGUAAUUUCAACAUUUGACAACACUUGAAAAGAUAUUUUCUUUAAGUUCUGCUUAACAAUAAAAGAAAAAAGAAAUUAAUAUUCAUACAUGAAAGAUACCUGGAAAAAACAUAUUCAUAUUUGAAAACAUAGAAAACAUAUUCAUGUUUGCUUUUAGGAUUAUCGUAAAAUUUGACACCUUGAUAUCAAAUCACCAAAAUAUACAUGUACAAAGUAUAUUGUUAACAUAAUUUCAGAUCACAUUAGGCAUUUGAACGGUUUUUGAAACACUUUAGCAAAAGAAUACAUAUGUGGAAAAGCACACUUCGGCGGGAAUUCCUUUCUUUGUAGGAUAAUGCAAAUGUCUUCAUUGCUUCCUCAAAAUAUCCACUUUCGUAAAGGCUACAGCCCAACAAAUUUAAGUGAUGAUACUUGUGAACAGUUUCUUGGAGCACUUGUGUUUCCAGCUCACGUAGAGCUACACAAGACUCAAUGUUUCUCUCCAAAAAUCGACUGCAUUUAUAUCUCAUAUAAUGUGCGUACACGAGAGGACUAACUACCACGAAACACUCGGACGAAAUCCCAUCUGUUUGUUCACAGUCCAAUAGGUAUGAAUUUACUUCUAUUCUGAGAUGUUCAGUCAGAAUGGAUUCCUCCAAUUUAAAGAAUGUCAGGCUGCAAAUAGGUCGCCUCGGGGAAUUGAAGGACAUAUUUGCCAUAUUCAACAAGAAAGAUGAUAAAACUUGAAAAUACGAUUUCGUACUGUUCAUUCGAAUGCAUGGACAAACUUUUAAUUCUUGAAGCAUCGGGGACACAAUGUGUAAUGUAUUUUCAUAAAACGAGUUUGUAAAAAAUACAUGGGCAAUUUGUACAAUCUCAUUGACACCAAACGUUUCUGUCCCUAAAUUUGCAGACAUUAAGAGUUCUUUGAUAAUUGAAAAGCGCUUUACAGGGCUCGGUAAAUCCCGGCAAAUUACAACAUUCAUUAAUCUAAUUUGUGCGCAUGAAAGAAGUCUAAUGAACAAAUUCUGGAGAGAAGGAUUAUGCAUAUGCAAAUCUGAAGGAGUUUUACGAAGAGUUCUGAGAAAGGUACGCAACUCUGUGACUGCAUCGUUCCAAUUGCUGUUACUUGGUGUAGACAAACAUGAAUUCAUACCAUCCCACAAAUUUUCUUCAAUGGACCUUUGAGAAAUCUGUUCCCACAAGUUCAACGCCCACUUACUGUUGCUGAUUCUUUUUAAUAGUGGAGUGAAUCCUGAAGAGUAAUACUUCAUUCCGGAUAUGAUCGGAAUGUUUUUUAUAUUGUCUAUGAAAUGUUGUUCUCUUGUAAAAUUUUCAAGUACAUUGCACACAAGAAACUUUUCGUGGUCAUUUAGUUUUUUAUGCAAAAGAUUGCAUUCUUUCAUAAAAUAAUUCGGACAAUACUCUUCUUUCACAAAACUGAGUAUUUUUCUUAAGCAUAACCAAGUAUAUUUCAAACACAGCCCCUCCUUCCAAUCAUUAGCAUUGUGUUGUUCCGAAAUCCAUGAAAACGAUGUUUUGGCAAUGUAAGAACUGAUUUUUUCGUGAAACAGUUCCCCGAGUAAUUUGCUCUUGAAAACAACUUUCAAUAACACAAAUGUCUUUAGCUGCGCAUUAUUUAGUGAGUGUAUAAGAUAUCGCUCUGCCCUUGCAAAUGAAAUUCGCCACUGUAGAUCCUCCAUUUCACUUCCAGGAACUCCCACUGGUACAAGAUCACAACCCAUUUCUAUAAUUUUCGCCAUCUGAUCACCAGAAGGCCAAUUAAAAGGACGAUAUCUUUCAAUCCAUUCAUCAGCAAUAGAUGGCCAUUCAUGGCAAUGAAUUCCCAUGACGAAAUCCAUUGAUUCAAAUAAACCUAACGGCGAGUUAAAAAUAUCUCCAGUAGAAAAAACAAACAUAUUUGCCGGUCCGUGAUUACGACCACCAGUAACUAUUAUAUUCGUCAUAUUAGAAAUGGAAUGGUGCAGUGAAGCUAUACUUGAAAAGUCUUUGUAAUUCGCAGCAGAAUGAAAAGAGCAUGUAUCUAAGUUGCCGUUGAGGUUCCUUAACAGGACAUAACCUGGCAAACAAUAGCCGUGUUCCAGUUUCACUAUGUCCACCUGGUGUGGCUGUAGAGUGAAAUGUCUUUCCACGGCAAUUGUGUUUUUCAAUAUGAACAUACCAUCUACAUCAGAUUUUUCCUGUGUAAGUAUAGAUACUCCUGUCAUUCCUUCUGCAACAGAACCAACUAUAACAAUUUCACCUAACAGUGUGUCCAUUGUUUUCCGUUUUAACAAAUGUUGGAAACACAUUUCUAUCCACGUCACCGUUGAUACUUGUUUUCUCCAUAGAACUGGAUUGCACAUCGCUUCGUAUAUGUCUGAUAAUUCUUCUUCUUCUACGUCCAUUUUAAUACUUGUAUCUUGAAAUAUGAAAAAAAGAACAAAUGAAUGUGAAAGAGCGAAUGAAUGAUUGGUAUAGGUAUUUCAGAGGCUAACAUGGAAUGAUGCAAUGUGUAAUUGCCUUUAUUUACAUUUCACAACCAUAUAUGAAUGGCAACAUAAAUACACCCAUUGGCAGUUCAAUAUUCAUGGCUUUAAAAAUAAACCGUUAAGCAAGACAUGUUGAAUAAGCAGCUAUAUAAUGUAGUCAUGUCUAAAUUAUUUGUCUGCAUUCUGAUAUUUUUUGGGACAGAUUAACAGUCAUAAUUACUGCAUCAGUUGCCAUACCCCCGAUAAUAAAUUAAGCCAUGACAAAUAUGUUUCAUUAGCAAUGAAUGUGUGAGUCUAAUAAGCUUUUCUGCAGUUCAUCUUAGCUCAAUGAGAAAUAAUCACCGGUUUCAAAGUUUCUUUUGCGUUCGGCAAACAGCAAGCAAAGUCCGUAUUCAUAUCAUCACAAAAAGAAACACAGUUGUACAAAAAGAAUUUUAUUAAGAAUUGGUAGAAACACAUACUAGAUUAAAUUCAAUAAUUUGUUCCCAAAUCAAUUUAAACUUUAAAAUUACAUUUUCUUAAAGACAUGAAAAUGCUGACAAAAUGAAUAUGAUAUAAUAUACUUUUCAGUAAAAGGUCAAAAGGGUUUCUUAAACUAUGCAAGAAAUUGUAAUUGGUACAGUGAAUUUGGAAUGUGUGCAACUUAGAUAUUGCAUAAAGCAAACAUAUAAUUUAAGGAGGACAUAAAGUCGACUGAAAACAUGUAUGCUUUGGGGAUGGAGGUUAAAGUUUGAUUCAUUAUCUUAAGAGAGUUUUUACAGGGCUUUCAACACUUGCACAUGUACUCUAAAGGGUCAAAUCAUCAUCAUGAUGCAAUGCAUAUAUUUGUGCAAACAUGUAAUGGCGCAGGAAAGUUUUGUGGUAAUUCAAAAUCAUUUUCAAGUCAUUGACUCCCUUGGCCUCCGCCUACACGUCUGUAUGAUACUUUUUGCCGAAUGUCACACAUCACAAUUUUCAUGGCAUAGUGGCCUGUCCUCCAUUUUCAGAUGGCAGUCUUUAAGGACAUAGUGGCCUGUCCUCCAUUUUCAGAUGGCAGUCUUUAAGGACAUAGUGGCUUGUCCUCCAUUUUCAGAAAUGCCAUGUAGAGUCUCCAUCUAUGAAAAAAAGAUAACUAUAGGUCAUUACAAUGCAAACAGUGUGAAAUAUUGAAAACAUACCAUCUAUCCGAUAAAAUAUACAUCUUGCAAAGGACAAAAUGCAACGGACGAGACCGAGAUUCGAACACGGCCCCCUAGCAGCUGAAUACCUAGUCAGGUGCUCUAGCAUUUGAGCUAUCUAACAACCGGUGAUCGAAUCCGGCUGACUGCUAUACUCCCCCUUCUUCACACCUGAAGACAUCAACCCAGAUUCGUUUUGCCCCAGGCAGGACUUUCACCUGCAAAUCUAGGGGUGGUCUACGGCACCAAAUGUAACAGGAAGGGAGACAGACCGGGACUCUAACCCGGGCCCCCUGAAUCAGUUCCUGAAAAAUUCUUCAUUGAUUCGAAAAUCAAUAUAAAGAGCAUCUCGUGAACAUUUCAAGAAUUGAAUAUUUUGUGGAUCUAUCUUUAAUAAGUUCAAUUGAGAUAUCAUAAAGAAUUAAUUGAUCGAGAACGGUUUGAAUUCUUUUCCCAAACUUGUUCAAAAACAGAUUAUAGAUAAUGUUGUGAUGGAUAUAUUUAACAUUCUGGUGGAAUAGCUGUUUUGAUUCUAAAUAUCCAAGGAAAAGUCGUAAACUUUUGGUUUUAAUUCUAAAAUUUCAAGAAAAAGUUGUGGUGAACUUCUGCCACAGUUUCAAUUAUAGAUAAAAAAUAAAAUAAAAAAAGGUUGUGGAGCUCUUUUGGCACAGUGUACCACUGACGUCAUUAGCUCCACAUUCUGGCAAACAGUUCUGACACACCCAUCAUGCUAAUUUGUUUACCACAUUAGCGGCACAUUUGCAAAAAACUUUGAAUUUUGGCAAGGGAAACCUACGUUACGAGUAAAAUGGGUGUUGUUUUUUUUUAAAUAGUGUUUUAGGCUUACUCGUUCACAAUGAAUACGAUAUAGAGUAGAUUUAAUACUUGAUACUGUAAUUAUUAAUGCUUAUAUGUUGUAUGACCAUGAAAACUACAUACCGUGAUUGCUUCCCGUGAUAAUCAGCUUCCGUAUCUUCUUUUCUCCUGUCAUUGGACCAUAGUACUAUUUUCUAGACAUCCACGUGGUGUCAACUAACACUUCAUGAUAUUAACUUUUUUUCAGAAUUUCAUAAUCGAGAAUACAUGUAUAUUUUAUCAAAAUGAUAUGGCAUACAUAUUUGAAUGUUUAUUUCAAAAAAUGCAUUCCAUUAAUCGUAAGCAAUCAUUUCCACACAUUCAUCUGCGAUUCGCAAACUGAACGUAAACGUGAGGAACAGGGUUUAAGCCCGUUUUGACCCAAAACUCCUCGUAACCAUAAAUAAAGAAAAGAUCGAAGUCUGACUUAGCUAACUCACAUUUAGGUAUUUUUACUCGAACAUUUACCGGUUCAGGUUCAGGUCACCCAAUGAUGGCAGCUUAUCUCAAAUUUCAAUAAAGUUCUCUAUAUGUACUAGUAUGCUAUAUAAUAAUGAUAAUAUAAAAAAUCAUAUAGCUGGGUCUGUAGUCUGCACUAACAACAUCAACUGCUAACAAAAUCAAGCAAACGGUUAAUAUUGUUAGCAGUCAAUGUUGUUGCGGAAUAUAGCAUUCUUAGAGAACUCUAUUGAAAUAUGAGUAAGUAGCAUAGAUUUGAAGUGAAAUUCCGUACAAUAGAUGCAAAAUGUGUCCCCCACUUGUCUGAAUUUCGUAAGCCAGGCAGGACCAUUGUACCACAAACAUUGUAGAAUGUUCACUAAAUGUAUCCUUUAUGAACAUCAACUAUGUCUAAAUGUAGAAGUGACCCCCACUCUUUAUUUAAAAUGGGUGUAAAAUUAAUGCACACUGUACAAUGUUUUGAAGUGGGUUGAGCCUCGCAAUUUUCUAAAGACAUUGCUCAUCUUAUAUUUGUAUGCAUCUUUUGAAAAUUGAUUUUUGCCGAUUUGCAUAUGUACUUGAAACGACGAAAUUUAUGUGGGAAUAUAUACAAUCAAUGUGUAAAAACCUGGACUGGGAACCCAAUCCAGUGCCCCUGUCUUACUGGUCACGUGCUCUACUGGCUGACUCCCACCUCAAUAAAUUCAGUGAGAAUUGGAGCGGGAAUUCAAACCUUCAAAAUGAAGGGGUUGUCUGUCGCCAGCAUUAGGAUAGCUUGUUUAAAAUUCCUAUGUAUGAAAAUGCUUGUUUCAUCACAGGGGCUCGUCACGAAUUGACCCUCUCUAUUCUAGAUAUUUACACAAGAGAGGAAUCCGCAAUCCCAAAAACGCUACUUCAAAUUUUCAUUCGUCUCCUUUUUGUAUUCCAAGGACGUUCAAUCUAACAAGCCCGGUCUCGAUCGAUCGAGGAAAGAUCAUAGUUUGUAGUAAAAACAACAACAACAACAAAAACCCACCCUAAUAUCUUAUUGCACCGGCAAUACACAUGAAGAACCAAUGCAUUUUCUGUCGUUUUUGAACCACAGGAACUUUUCCUCAAUCACCCAAAAUAGAAGACGCGUUCUCAUUGGUCAAUUCAAAUAUAGUAUAAAUAUAGAAUAGAAGAUGUCAAAUUUUUUAGAUAAGACAAAAAUUUCGUGACGAGACCCUGUGGUCUCAUUUCAUGAACUCAAAAACAAGCAUCUGAUUUAUGAAACUCAAAUUCAAAUAAUAUCCACAUUUUCGAGAGAUGCAAUAAUUUUUCUAAAUGAUUGAAGACCCGAUUAAAAUAUUUUCUCUAAACAUCAAUAGGGGGUAUGUUGGACUUGUAUUUCUUCAUGAAGGGAUGUACACGUUUAUAUCAAAGCGAAAAUUUAACGUUAACUGAAAUUGAAAGUAGAACGACAGGACCCUCUUUAAUUUAUAUUUUUGCUUAAACACUGUUAAAUGCAAACAUGUACAGUGUAUUGAUCCUACUGAAGAGAAACAAGCUCGACAUCUGCCCUCCACUGAGGAUUAAAGCUUGCUGUGUCUAAAAGCAUCCAGAUCUUAAUAAGAAAUUGUACCACAUCAUUGUCACUUAUAAUUUAGAUGGGUGGCAAGGUUCUGUUUUGGGUGUAAAAUCACAGGGGUUCGUCACGAAAUUUUUGUCUUAUUGAAAUUUGACAUCGUCUAUUCUAUAUUGUAAAUAUAGAAUAGAGAGGGUCAAUUCGGGACGAGCCCCUGUGGUAAAAUUAAUAUUGAUAUCUGGUUAAAAUCAGAGAAUUUAGAUACAUGUGGGUAAUUGAUAUGAAAUCGAAAGUAAAUUAAAUCAAUUCUAUUUUUCUUUAGUUAUCAGAAAAAGUAAAAUAGAAUAUUUCUAUGCGAUUUUAACAUUGCAAGACGUAGUCGGAUAGUUCAACAACUUACGGUUUGAGAGAAAAUAUAGGCGAUCAAGAUUUGAUGUACAUUGUAGGCUUGAAGGGCGACGCUCACGAGUUAUCUAUAAUAUAUCGUGGCUAUCUCGUUAAACUCACCACUUGAUCUGUGUAUGCAGCAAGGUAAGUUCCUCGAUGUAGUAAACAGCGAAUCAAUAGCUUGAGUCGAUUAAUUCCAAGGGCAGCGGCGUAUUAGGAACUGGUCCGUGGAACACGUCUGCUCUGGCAAUCUCUCACUAGAGGGCGUUACGCUACGCUCCACAACACCUCUGUUAUCGUCUAAUUUACAAGAAUUUUGUAAAACAGAGCGUCUUUGAAAAUAAAAUAAAUCUGCAUCAUUUUCAUAAAUAAAACAUACAUUUAUGAGUUAAAAACACAUUGGUAGGUAUCGAAACGCUGUAUUACGUUAGUGCAACCUCCA
Ostrea edulis (European flat oyster) is the source of this 8786-nucleotide long non-coding RNA. RefSeq lists it as uncharacterized. The record is from RefSeq and is a predicted model, not a curated record. Lineage: Eukaryota; Metazoa; Mollusca; Bivalvia; Ostreida; Ostreidae. The transcript is spliced from 3 exons.